AGAGUUUGAUCCUGGCUCAGGACAAACGCUGGCGGCGUGCAUAAAACAUGCAAGUCGGACGGACAGCAGCAAUGUUGUCAGUGGCGGACGGCUGAGUAACACGUAAGUGACCUACCCUUAAGUGGGGAAUAACUGCUCGAAAGAGUGGCUAAUACCGCAUGAGCUCGCCGGAUCAUACUGGCGAGGAAAGCAGCGAUGCGCUUAGGGAUGGGCUUGCGGCCGAUUAGCUAGUUGGAGGGGUAACGGCCCACCAAGGCGAUGAUCGGUAGCUGGUCUGAGAGGAUGAUCAGCCAGACUGGGACUGCGACACGGCCCAGACUCCUACGGGAGGCAGCAGUUAGGAAUUUUGCGCAAUGGACGAAAGUCUGACGCAGCAACGCCGCGUGGAGGAAGAAGGUCUUCGGAUCGUAAACUCCUUUUCUGAAGGAAGAUAAUGACGGUACCUCAGGAAUAAGCCCCGGCUAACUACGUGCCAGCAGCCGCGGUAAUACGUAGGGGGCGAGCGUUGUCCGGAUUUACUGGGCGUAAAGAGCGCGUAGGCGGUCUUUCAAGUCGUGCGUGAAAUACCUCGGCUCAACCGGGGCACGUCGUGCGAUACUGGGGGACUUGAGGUCGGAAGAGGGAAGUGGAAUUCCGGGUGUAGUGGUGGAAUGCGUAGAUAUCCGGAGGAACACCAGUGGCGAAGGCGGCUUCCUGGUCCGAUCCUGACGCUGAGGCGCGAAAGCGUGGGGAGCGAACUGAAUUAGAUACUCAGGUAGUCCACGCUGUAAACAAUGGGUGCUAGGUGUCGGGGGUAUCGACCCCUCCGUGCGGAGCUAACGCAUUAAGCACCCCGCCUGGGGGAGUACGCGCAAGCUAAACUCAAGGAUGACGAUCU
RNAcentral lists this ribosomal RNA (877 nucleotides) under uncultured bacterium. Its description in RNAcentral is "bacterial SSU rRNA". It matches the Rfam family "Bacterial small subunit ribosomal RNA", at positions 8 to 916 of the family's 1533-position model. The record is from RNAcentral.